Molecule: transfer RNA, 74 nt
Filed under: Ktedonobacteraceae bacterium
Lineage: Bacteria; Bacillati; Chloroflexota; Ktedonobacteria; Ktedonobacterales; Ktedonobacteraceae
Description: tRNA-Glu
Rfam family: tRNA
About the family: Transfer RNA (tRNA) molecules are approximately 80 nucleotides in length. Their secondary structure includes four short double-helical elements and three loops (D, anti-codon, and T loops).
Source: RNAcentral
GCGGGUGAAGACAAAUGGUUGAGUCGUCCGUCCUUCAAACGGGAAACAGUCGGGUUCGAUUCCCACCAUCCGUA